UACGUAGGGCGCAAGCGUUGUCCGGAUUCACUGGGUGUAAAGGGUGCGCAGGCGGGCUGGCAAGUCAGGGGUGAAAUCUCACGGCUUAACCGUGAAACUGCCUUUGAUACUGCCAGUCUUGAGUUCGGGAGAGGUUGAUGGAAUUCCAGGUGUAGCGGUGAAAUGCGUAGAUAUCUGGAAGAACACCGGUGGCGAAGGCGGUCAACUGGCCCGUAACUGACGCUGAGGCACGAAAGCGUGGGGAUCAAACAGGAUUAGAUACCCCCGUAGUCC
This 273-nucleotide ribosomal RNA is filed under the name uncultured bacterium. RNAcentral's name for it is "partial 16S ribosomal RNA". It matches the Rfam family "Bacterial small subunit ribosomal RNA", at positions 524 to 796 of the family's 1533-position model. The record is from RNAcentral.